AUAUUGGACAAUGGGGGCAACCCUGACCCAGCCAUGCCGCGUGUGUGAAGAAGGCCUUUUGGUUGUAAAGCACUACAAGUAGUGAAGAAGACUCUAUGGUUAAUACUCAUAGACGAUGACGUUAGCUGCAGAAUAAGCACCGGCUAACUCUGUGCCAGCAGCCGCGGUAAUACAGAGGGUGCAAGCGUUAAUCGGAAUUACUGGGCGUAAAGCGAGCGUAGGUGGCUUAAUAAGUCAGAUGUGAAAUCCCCGGGCUUAACCUGGGAACUGCAUCUGGUACUGUUGGGCUAGAGUAGGUGAGAGGGAGGUAGAAUUUCAGGUGUAGCGGUGAAAUGCGUAGAGAUCUGAAGGAAUACCGAUGGCGAAGGCAGCCUCCUGGCAUCAUACUGACACUGAGGUUCGAAAGCGUGGGUAGCAAACAG
Molecule: ribosomal RNA, 422 nt
Filed under: uncultured bacterium
Lineage: Bacteria
Description: bacterial SSU rRNA
Rfam family: Bacterial small subunit ribosomal RNA
Source: RNAcentral